GAUGAACGCUGGCGGCGUGCCUAAUACAUGCAAGUCGAGCGAACAGAUGAGGAGCUUGCUCCUCUGACGUUAGCGGCGGACGGGUGAGUAACACGUGGAUAACCUACCUAUAAGACUGGGAUAUCUUCGGGAAACCGGAGCUAAUACCGGAUAAUAUAUUGAACCGCAUGGUUCAAUAGUGAAAGACGGUUUUGCUGUCACUUAUAGAUGGAUCCGCGCCGCAUUAGCUAGUUGGUAAGGUAACGGCUUACCAAGGCAACGAUGCGUAGCCGACCUGAGAGGGUGAUCGGCCACACUGGAACUGAGACACGGUCCAGACUCCUACGGGAGGCAGCAGUAGGGAAUCUUCCGCAAUGGGCGAAAGCCUGACGGAGCAACGCCGCGUGAGUGAUGAAGGUCUUCGGAUCGUAAAACUCUGUUAUUAGGGAAGAACAAAUGUGUAAGUAACUAUGCACGUCUUGACGGUACCUAAUCAGAAAGCCACGGCUAACUACGUG
This 497-nucleotide ribosomal RNA is filed under the name uncultured bacterium. RNAcentral's name for it is "partial 16S ribosomal RNA". It matches the Rfam family "Bacterial small subunit ribosomal RNA", at positions 28 to 507 of the family's 1533-position model. The record is from RNAcentral.